CUUUUUUAUAAAACAUCUAGAAACAAACACGAACAACUGUGUGAUGGAAGAUGAUUGUCAAACUUAAUGGUCCACAGUGAUUUAUCGACCUUCUUAAAAACUGUCAAAAACGAGAAUGACACCC
Haliotis rubra (blacklip abalone) is the source of this 124-nucleotide long non-coding RNA. RefSeq lists it as uncharacterized. Lineage: Eukaryota; Metazoa; Mollusca; Gastropoda; Lepetellida; Haliotidae. The record is from RefSeq and is a predicted model, not a curated record. The transcript is spliced from 3 exons.